CUGGGAUUAGAUACCCUGUUAUUUAAAAUGUAAUAUAUAAAACUAGAGUAGUAAUAGUUAUGAUCUUUAAACUUAAAAAAUUUGGCGGUAUUUUAGUCUUUUCAGAGGAACCUGUUUUGUAAUUGAUAAUCCACAUUGUACCUUACUAAAAUUUGUUUUUCAGUUUAUAUACCGUCGUUAUUUGGAAUAUUUUAUAAGAAUAAUAAUUUUCAAUAAUUUUUAUUAAAAUUAAUGUCAGAUCAAGGUGUAGCUAAUGUUUUAGAAAAUAAUGGGUUACAAUAAAAUUAUUUAUGCGAAUAUAAAUGUGAAAUAUUUAUUGAAGAUGGAUUUGAUAGUAAAAUUAUAAAGAUUAAUAAUUUGAUUUUAGCUCUAAAAUAUGUACAAAUCGCCCGUCACUCUCUGA
RNAcentral lists this ribosomal RNA (403 nucleotides) under Microsania pectipennis. Its description in RNAcentral is "partial 12S ribosomal RNA". Lineage: Eukaryota; Metazoa; Arthropoda; Insecta; Diptera; Platypezidae. The record is from RNAcentral.